AUGGCCACCAAGGGCUACCAGGCUCAAGCCCCGGCGAUGCCCGCGGCGGGAGAGCGCGCCGGCUCCGGCGGCGGCAACAAGGCGCCGACCGGGAGCACGCCGAGGCGCGGCCAGAUCAAGGAGAAGAUCAUCAAGGACGUGAUCACCGCGGUCACCAACCUGGCCGCCGGGCUCGUCCGCGCCGACAAGAACGACGCCAGCACGGGCGGUCUCCCGGCCGCCGGCGACGCCGACGCCAAGUGA
Molecule: ribosomal RNA, 243 nt
Filed under: Triticum aestivum (bread wheat)
Lineage: Eukaryota; Viridiplantae; Streptophyta; Magnoliopsida; Poales; Poaceae
Description: partial small subunit ribosomal RNA
Source: RNAcentral